UUCUUUGGGAUCAGGAAGGUUUGAUUUCUGCAAGAGAUCAUGUUUAUUAACACCAACUGUAUAGGAAACAAAAUGAAGGCGCGAUGAGAUAUUCAGCAUACUUCAGAAUGGUAUAGUACUGUACUACACUUCAGUGUUCAAUAAGGUUGGUAGACCACUAAGAAGGGACCAGUGAUCUGCAGGAGGUGUCCUUCAGAUGCAUCACUUGAAAGAAUGUCAGAGGAAACGUCACUUUGCAGUUAGGAGGCUGUGAUUAUUCACAGGCUCCCAAUAGUUCCAAG
Lepisosteus oculatus (spotted gar) is the source of this 281-nucleotide long non-coding RNA. RefSeq lists it as uncharacterized. The record is from RefSeq and is a predicted model, not a curated record. NCBI's taxonomy places the organism in Eukaryota, Metazoa, Chordata, Actinopteri, Semionotiformes, Lepisosteidae.